This 408-nucleotide ribosomal RNA is filed under the name uncultured bacterium. Its description in RNAcentral is "partial 16S ribosomal RNA". It matches the Rfam family "Bacterial small subunit ribosomal RNA", at positions 28 to 526 of the family's 1533-position model. The record is from RNAcentral.
AUUGAACGCUGGCGGCAGGCCUAACACAUGCAAGUCGAGCGGAGUGGCGAUCGGGUGAGUCACACGUGGGUGACCUGCCCUUCACUUCGGGAUAAGCCUGGGCAACUGGGUCUAAUACCGGCUAGUUGGGGGUGGGACCGCGGCCUAUCAGCUGGUUGGUGGGGUAAUGGCCUACCAAGGCGGCUACGGGUAGCCGGCCUGAGAGGGUGGACGGCGACAUUGGGACUGAGACACGGCCCAGACUCCUACGGGAGGCAGCAGUGGGGAAUAUUGCACAAGGGGCGGAAGCCUGAUGCAGCGACGCCGCGUGGGGGAUGACGGCCUUCGGGUUGUAAACUCCUUUCACCAUCGACGCGGUAGAUGGAGAAGAAGCACCGGCUAACUACGUGCCAGCAGCCGCGGUAAUUC